RNAcentral lists this ribosomal RNA (586 nucleotides) under Hanseniaspora uvarum. Its description in RNAcentral is "partial large subunit ribosomal RNA". It matches the Rfam family "Eukaryotic large subunit ribosomal RNA", at positions 67 to 668 of the family's 3401-position model. Lineage: Eukaryota; Fungi; Ascomycota; Saccharomycetes; Saccharomycodales; Saccharomycodaceae. The record is from RNAcentral.
UCUAAGGCCAUACUUAGUACGGCGAGUGAGCGGUAAAAGCUCAAAUUUGAAAUCUGGUACUUUCAGUGCCCGAGUUGUAAUUUGUAGAAUUUGUCUUUGAUUAGGUCCUUGUCUAUGUUCCUUGGAACAGGACGUCAUAGAGGGUGAGAAUCCCGUUUGGCGAGGAUACCUUUUCUCUGUAAGACUUUUUCGAAGAGUCGAGUUGUUUGGGAAUGCAGCUCAAAGUGGGUGGUAAAUUCCAUCUAAAGCUAAAUAUUGGCGAGAGACCGAUAGCGAACAAGUACAGUGAUGGAAAGAUGAAAAGAACUUUGAAAAGAGAGUGAAAAAGUACGUGAAAUUGUUGAAAGGGAAGGGCAUUUGAUCAGACAUGGUGUUUUUUGCAUGCACUCGCCUCUCGUGGGCUUGGGCCUCUCAAAAAUUUCACUGGGCCAACAUCAAUUCUGGCAGCAGGAUAAAUCAUUAAGAAUGUAGCUACUUCGGUAGUGUUAUAGCUUUUUGGAAUACUGUUAGCCGGGAUUGAGGACUGCGCUUCGGCAAGGAUGUUGGCAUAAUGGUUAAAUGCCGCCCGUCUUGAACCCACGGACCA